CCUACGGGUGGCAGCAGUGGGGAAUAUUGGGCAAUGGACGCAAGUCUGAACCAGCAAAGUCGCGUGAAGGAUGACUGCCCUAUGGGUUGUAACCUUCUUUUAUAUGGGCAUAGCAUGUUCCACUUGUGGGAUUUUGUAUGUACCAUAUGAAUAAGGAUCGGCUAGCUCCGUGCCAGCAGCCGCGGUAAUACGGAGGAUCCGAGCGUUAUCCGGAUUUAUUGGGUUUAAAGGGAGCGUAGGUGGAUGGUUAAGUCAGUUGUGAAAGUUUGCGGCUCAACCGUAAAAUUGCUUGUGAAACUGGCAGUCUUGAGUACAGUAGAGGUGGGCGGAAUUCGGGGUGUAGCGGUGAAAUGCUUAGAUAUCACGAAGAACUCCGAUGGCGAAGGCAGCUUACUGGACUGCAACUGACACUGAGGCGCGAAAGUGUGGGUAUCAAACAGGAUUAGAUACCCGGGUAGUC
Molecule: ribosomal RNA, 460 nt
Filed under: uncultured bacterium
Lineage: Bacteria
Description: partial 16S ribosomal RNA
Rfam family: Bacterial small subunit ribosomal RNA
Source: RNAcentral